Molecule: long non-coding RNA, 227 nt
Organism: Amphimedon queenslandica
Lineage: Eukaryota; Metazoa; Porifera; Demospongiae; Haplosclerida; Niphatidae
Exons: 2
Source: RefSeq, a predicted model, not a curated record
GUAAUCGUAACUCAAGUUUAUUAUGUAGUAGAUACAGAAGCUCAUACUAGCAUAUACUUGUGCUGGUAUAUUACCAUCACAGUACUGCCAUAUUUUGAUCGGCAUUACUUGGUACAGUUGGGAAGAUGUACACAACUACAGGAAGCUUCUCACCAUCCCCAUAUCCAUUCAACUCUGUUAUUGUAUAUGCUUAAUAAUUUAGAAUAAUAUAAUUUUUGUAUUUACUA